GUGCUCGCUUCCACAGAACAUAUACUAAAAUUGGAAUGAUACAGAGAAGAUUAGCAUGGCCCCUGCGAAAGGAUGACACGCAAAUUGGUGAAGCGUUCCAUAUUUUU
Molecule: small nuclear RNA, 107 nt
Organism: Artibeus jamaicensis (Jamaican fruit-eating bat)
Lineage: Eukaryota; Metazoa; Chordata; Mammalia; Chiroptera; Phyllostomidae
Source: RefSeq, a predicted model, not a curated record